GGACCUAUCCAUCAACGGGAGUGACUUGGCGUGGGGACCAAAUUGGGCAGUAUUUGGGGACAUCUCUAUCUUCUAUGUAGAUUAUGGAGUAAUCAGUUCGCGAUCCUACGCUGACAAUGUCUACCCCGCUAAUUUGAUGUUCUUGUGCAUAAUUGAAUGCAGAGUUGAUGAAGCGCAGCUCAAUCUACUCGGAUACCGAUCCAUUAGCAAGGAUCUGCAUGUUACAUGUGAGACAGGCUAUCAACUUCACACCCUCAAGGAAGAAGUGGCCUGCGGGCCGGAUGGCAUCUGGAAGAAUUUACCACGUUGCAUAAGGAACAUCAUAUAGGAGACAACGGACCUCUUCUUCUGCAAUGUGGAUGGAUACUCCCAAUAGAAAUGAGUAUGCCCGGUGUGGAUGAGCAUUCCCAAUGCAGAUGACUAUUCCAGAAUGAAUGCUCUCUUUCUUGUUCAUUGUGUGCCUUGCAAUCAUCGCUUAACUUUUCACUCAUGCAUGUAGACAUAAUUAUAAGGAUAUGUUUACAUCGA
Molecule: long non-coding RNA, 528 nt
Organism: Sycon ciliatum
Lineage: Eukaryota; Metazoa; Porifera; Calcarea; Leucosolenida; Sycettidae
Exons: 3
Source: RefSeq, a predicted model, not a curated record